Molecule: long non-coding RNA, 514 nt
Organism: Gorilla gorilla gorilla (western lowland gorilla)
Lineage: Eukaryota; Metazoa; Chordata; Mammalia; Primates; Hominidae
Exons: 4
Source: RefSeq, a predicted model, not a curated record
CUCCUAGAAUGCAGUGGCCUAAGACUCCACUUUGAGAGCACAAUGAGGAAAAAGCCAUCAAGGAAUCACAUUUAGAAACUCCAACUUCAGGUUUGCAUAAUCUCAAAGUAUCUCCCCAAAGAUACUUUCUAAUGAACAAGGGAAAGAUAACAACUUUAAAAUGGAGAAUCAUUGAAGACAUCUGCUUCACCAAGUGAUCAGGUUAAUACCACCAGCAAAAAGACAUACUGGCCUCCUUCUUCUCAGACACACAACCAUACUGAAAUUAGGACAAUUAAUUACCCUACAUGGCUUCUACAUGUUAAAGUGAAAAGAAGACUAACAUAUAUCUUACUUUUAAAUCAAAAGCUACAGAUGAUUAAACUUAGAGAGGAAAGCAUGUUGAAAGUCAAGGUAUUCAAGUAAAUAAUAGUAUUCAGCAGAUUCUGAAAUGAAAUCCGGAGGAUGUUUUCUGGACCACAUGUUACCACAAUUAAGGAAUAUCAUAAACAAAAUAAAAGCUAAAGUUACACUA